Molecule: ribosomal RNA, 482 nt
Filed under: uncultured bacterium
Lineage: Bacteria
Description: partial 16S ribosomal RNA
Rfam family: Bacterial small subunit ribosomal RNA
Source: RNAcentral
AUUGAACGCUGGCGGCAUGCUUUACACAUGCAAGUCGAACGGUAACAGGCCGCAAGGUGCUGACGAGUGGCGAACGGGUGAGUAAUGCAUCGGAACGUGCCCAGUCGUGGGGGAUAACUACUCGAAAGAGUAGCUAAUACCGCAUACGAUCUAUGGAUGAAAGCGGGGGACCGUAAGGCCUCGCGCGAUUGGAGCGGCCGAUGUCAGAUUAGGUAGUUGGUGGGGUAAAGGCUCACCAAGCCAACGAUCUGUAGCUGGUCUGAGAGGACGACCAGCCACACUGGGACUGAGACACGGCCCAGACUCCUACGGGAGGCAGCAGUGGGGAAUUUUGGACAAUGGGCGCAAGCCUGAUCCAGCAAUGCCGCGUGCAGGAAGAAGGCCUUCGGGUUGUAAACUGCUUUUGUACGGAACGAAACGGCUCUGGUUAAUACCCGGGGCUAAUGACGGUACCGUAAGGAUAAGCACCGGCUAACUACGUG